CCUACGGGGGGCUGCAGUGGGGAAUAUUGGACAAUGGGCGAAAGCCUGAUCCAGCCAUGCCGCGUGUGUGAAGAAGGCCUUCGGGUUGUAAAGCACUUUCAGUGGGGAAGAAAGCCUUGGGGCUAAUACCCUCGAGGGAGGACAUCACCCACAGAAGAAGCACCGGCUAACUCCGUGCCAGCAGCCGCGGUAAUACGGAGGGUGCGAGCGUUAAUCGGAAUUACUGGGCGUAAAGCGCGCGUAAGCGGUCUGAUAAGCCGGUUGUGAAAGCCCCGGGCUCAACCUGGGAACGGCAUCCGGAACUGUCAGGCUAGAGUGCAGGAGAGGAAGGUAGAAUUCCCGGUGUAGCGGUGAAAUGCGUAGAGAUCGGGAGGAAUACCAGUGGCGAAGGCGGCCUUCUGGACUGACACUGACGCUGAGGUGCGAAAGCGUGGGUAGCAAACAGGAUUUAGAUACCCUAGUAGUC
RNAcentral lists this ribosomal RNA (466 nucleotides) under Vreelandella stevensii. RNAcentral's name for it is "partial 16S ribosomal RNA". It matches the Rfam family "Bacterial small subunit ribosomal RNA", at positions 338 to 795 of the family's 1533-position model. Lineage: Bacteria; Pseudomonadati; Pseudomonadota; Gammaproteobacteria; Oceanospirillales; Halomonadaceae. The record is from RNAcentral.